Molecule: ribosomal RNA, 531 nt
Filed under: Lasiodiplodia theobromae
Lineage: Eukaryota; Fungi; Ascomycota; Dothideomycetes; Botryosphaeriales; Botryosphaeriaceae
Description: eukaryotic LSU rRNA
Rfam family: 5.8S ribosomal RNA (bases 156-309)
Source: RNAcentral
CUGCGGAAGGAUCAUUACCAAGUGCUUCGAGCUUCGGCUCGACUCUCCCACCCUUUGUGAACGUACCUCUGUUGCUUUGGCGGCUCCGGCCGCCAAAGGACCUUCAAACUCCAGUCAGUAAACGCAGACGUCUGAUAAACAAGUUAAUAAACUAAAACUUUCAACAACGGAUCUCUUGGUUCUGGCAUCGAUGAAGAACGCAGCGAAAUGCGAUAAGUAAUGUGAAUUGCAGAAUUCAGUGAAUCAUCGAAUCUUUGAACGCACAUUGCGCCCCUUGGUAUUCCGGGGGGCAUGCCUGUUCGAGCGUCAUUACAACCCUCAAGCUCUGCUUGGAAUUGGGCACCGUCCUCACUGCGGACGCGCCUCAAAGACCUCGGCGGUGGCUGUUCAGCCCUCAAGCGUAGUAGAAUACACCUCGCUUUGGAGCGGUUGGCGUCGCCCGCCGGACGAACCUUCUGAACUUUUCUCAAGGUUGACCUCGGAUCAGGUAGGGAUACCCGCUGAACUUAAGCAUAUCAAUAAGCGGAGGAA